This is an RNA transcript of Zingiber officinale, 3445 nucleotides long. RefSeq lists it as uncharacterized. The record is from RefSeq and is a predicted model, not a curated record. The transcript is spliced from 4 exons. Lineage: Eukaryota; Viridiplantae; Streptophyta; Magnoliopsida; Zingiberales; Zingiberaceae.
AUGCAACUUUUAGUAUUUUCUCCCUCCCGUUCCCUCUUUCAUGUCAAACCCUAGUUUUUUUCCUCUGCGCCGGCACCGCCGCCACUGCCUUUAUGGCUUACACAGUAGUCGUCAUCGCAGAUCAACGCCUCCUCCUCCUUCUCAUUAUUACAAACCCUAAACCUCAUUUCAUUAUAUCUCUCUCACACGUGAUCUAAAUCCUUGACGUCGCUAUUUGAUCGUCGACUCGCCGCCCUUCGAUGUUCUUCGCUACCGUCGCCGGUUGUUUUUGCUGCUGUUGGUUGUCACUCCUCUCGUCUCCCAACAACCAUGGGAUUGGGCUUGCAUAAAGGAAAGGGGCGGUUUUUUCUUAUUCUUUCCGGCAAAUCAAAUUCAGAUUUUGCCCUCGCGCUAUUCAGUGUGCUAUGUUAAUUCUUGAGGGGCAAGUUAGAAUGUAUGUAAUUGAUACAGGCUUGGAGAAAAUUUUAUUUCAUCUUCGAAUCAUGGAUACCCUUGCUCACUUGACGUAUAGAGCAGUUGACUCCGCGCAUAAAGAGGACUCUUGAGUCUUUUAGAGAGGUUCAAAGGCUUCGGCCAAAUUGAGAUGAUUUUCCUCACUGGAUGGAUUGCAAGUCUCACGGGAUGGAUUGCGGAUCAUUCAUCUUAUUGUUAUGUGAGGCACUUUUCGGGUGGAUUUCUAGUCGAUCAUCCUAUAUAUGAUUCAAUGUGCAGACUGUUGAGUACAAGAACAUCAGUUUCAUUGUAUGGGAUGUUGGUGGUCAGAAUACGGAUGACUUAAGGGAUGCCGUCUUGCUUGUGUUUGCUAACAAACAAGACCUUCCAAAUGCAAUGAAUGCUGCUGAAAUAACUGAUAAGCUUGGUCUUCAGUCUCUCUGUCAACAUCACUACUAAGAUAUACUUGUGCUAUCUAUUUUGGUUUAUUUAUCUACUAUGGAUCUAACUGAAUUUUGCUUAGCAAUUGAUUUUUGAAUGUAUGCUGAAUUAUCAUAAACCAGUCAAAAUAAUAGCAACCAUACAAUGGUUUUUGUCUCAUUAAAUAUGCCUAAGCUAGAUGCAUUUUAUUGUCUUCUGAAGAUGUUGACACUAAUUUGCUGUUGAAGAUUAAAAGGUUGGGUUAUUAUAAAUCUCUUCAAUAUCAAGAAAGUUGGUUUGGAAAUUGCUCUCUCUCUUAGAAAUUCAAAUUGGUAAUAAGAAUAGAUCACCUUUUAUAUUGCAUGUGAUGCUAAUAGGCUUUGGUUGCAUAAUGUUAGCAUAGAUUGUUGGUCUCUCUAAACUUGAUAAUUUAGAGUGACCUAUAAAAUUAUGGUCUCGAGCAGGUAAGUCAUAUCAAAAUGUCCUUUUGCAGUUUAGGGAACUUCACAAAGAAUGACCCAAUCUAUUUUUCUGAGCAGAGUUUUACUAGUUUAGUAUACACAGGCUCUGCUUUUUGCUUUUAUUUUUAUUAAUGUCUUCCGCAUGAAUCUGAAGUCAGUAGCCCAGCCUACAUUACUAAUGAAUUAAUUCCCUAUUGUCAUUUUCUUGGUUCUUCAACUUGAAGAUUAUGCAAAGCAUCCUUCUAUAAAGUUUAAGAAGUUGCAACAUUGAUUUUUGGAAAUUGAGAACACAGAUUUUGUUUGCUUGCCAGGUACAUACAAAGCACUUAUGCUAUAUUCGGUGAAGGUUUGUAUGAAGGGCUUGAUUGGCUCUCCAACAACAUUGCCAGCAAGGUAUUUACUUUUUAGUUUUCCAAGACCACUCUCUCUGUGACGUCAAGACCCUCGUCAAAUGUUAUAGAAUCACUAUGAAUAUUGCCAAAAUUGAGAGCAAACUUGACGAGAUUUAUGAAAGCAGUAGGAAUCUCCGAUUGAAGCCUGUAGAUGGGUAGUGCGACGGUUCGAAGAUGGAUUUGUCUCUGUCGUUGCAACUUUCGAUGAAUCUUGAAUCGUCGGAAGAAGCAAGGAGUGUGAAUUUGUUGUGGCCGCUUUCAAAGCCGAUUUGGUCUGGAAUCUAUAUGUGGUUGUGAUCUAUAUCCUUGUUGGAAUCAGUAAGACUACACUCAGCGCCAAUUAGUAUUCAAAUCCUAUUGAAUUCAAUGGUGACUUUGAGAUGAUGAUAUUAUUGUCUUUAACGAACGCGUACGGCAUUGUAAAGACUACAAAAACAGAUUAUCAAAGAGAUAAUUGGGAAAGACUACAUGAUCAAAGCUUUGACUACUUGCAAAAUCAUCUUAAACUUAUGAAGGGCAAGAGAUUCUUGCUUGUGCUUGACAAUUUCAGCACGAAGGAACCCAUGGUCUUUGACAAUUCUUCAUGUGGCUAAAGCUUUGACUCUUGCAGUUUUCCCUAGUUAUUUCUUUGAUUAUCUCUUCUGUUGCCUUUAUGGCGCUGUACACUUUUGUUAAAGACACCCAUAUCAUCAUUUCAAAGUUGUCAUCGCUUAUAGAUUUAGCAGGGUUUGUGAAUUGUAGAACCUGCCUCUAGAUCACUCUUAGAGAAAUAUUUGAAAACUAAUUGGGCGUGUAGUUUUAUCGAUUCCAGCAAGGCCAUGGAUCACAACCACACGUAGAUUUGAGAUUGAAUUGGCUUUGAGAGUUGCCACCACUGAUUUGCGCUCCUUUAUUCUUUUGAAGAUUUUAGAUUUGUCAAAGGUUGUAAUGGUAGGAACAGAAUCCAUCUCGUUCGAGCGAUCACUUCACCGUUGCCCAACUAAGGGCUUCAAUUGGAGAUUCCUCUGGCUUUCGUGGAUCUUGUCAAGUUUUUCCUCAAUCUUUGCAAUAUCCUUUGUGAUUCUGCGAUGCUUGACAAAGGUCUUGACGCCAAAAGAGAGGACUGACAACUUUAUUUUACGGGAAGGAGCUUCCUUGGCGUACUUGAUGAUGUCGACGAGAGUUUGGAACUUGUUGAUAAGGUUUUCGGCGUUGAAGGUCUUCAUCUCGCCGACUCAGCCCCUGACGGCUUCCUGUUUGAUGUCGAGUGACUCAGUGUUGAUGAUUAAGCACUGGAUCCGAUUGUGGAUUCUCUGGAACUUGUCGACCAUGUCCUCGAGGUUUCGAAUGAGGGAGGCCUGAUUGUAGCCUACAGUGAGAAGACACCAGAAGAUCUUGCUGCCCGUCUCUGUGAGGAUCUCGUUGAUCCAACCUAUGGCGAAGGCCGUGCAGAUGGGAGUUGGAGGGAGGGAAGGAGGAACAAAGGGCGAUCUAAAUUGACUACAUUCUUGAAAACAAGCGAGUGUGAGGUGCCAUCAAAAUUAUGGAAUGGGAACUUGGGAAGUUGCCUGGAAACGAAAGGCUUUACCAACGGCGACUUUGAAAAUAUUUUGUAUAAAGGUGAGACAUCAUUUCUAAAAACACGGGCUAUGACUUCACCGAACACAAGGUGAAUCCAAUCUAACUUAAAAUAUCAAAAGAUUUAUGUGAAACAAUCUCUUAAUAUUUGUGUAGUUUAACAAUUCUCAAACGGAGAUGUCA